UGGGUAGGGGAGCGUUGUGUAAGCCGUUGAAGGUGGAUUGAGAAGUCUGCUGGAGGUAUCACAAGUGCGAAUGCUGACAUGAGUAACGAUAAUGGGGGUGAAAACCCCCCACGCCGGAAGACCAAGGGUUCCUAUCCCAUGCUAAUCAGGGUAGGGUGAGUCGGCCCCUAAGGCGAGGCUGAAAAGCGUAGUCGAUGGGAAACGGGUUAAUAUUCCCGUACUGCUUUAUACUGCGAUGGGGUGACGGAGAAGGCUAGGCAAGCGCGGCGUUGGUAGUCCGCGUGAAAGUGAGUAGGUUGAGAGUUUAGGCAAAUCCGGACUCUUAAGACUGAGACACGAGACGAGACUCUACGGAGUUGAAGUUGUUGAUGCCCUGCUUCCAGGAAAAACCUCUAAGCAUCAGGUAUAAAGAACCGUACCCGAAACCGACACAGGUGGUCAGGUAGAGAAUACUAAGGCGCUUGAGAGAACUCGGGUGAAGGAACUAGGCAAAAUAGUACCGUAACUUCGGGAGAAGGUACGCCCUUAUUUGUGAAGGCCUUGCGCUGUAAGCAGAUGAGGGUCGCAGUGACCAGGUGGCUGGGACUGUUUAUUAAAAACACAGCACUCUGCAAACUCGAAAGAGGACGUAUAGGGUGUGACACCUGCCCGGUGCCGGAAGGUUAAUUGAUGGGGUUAGCUUCGGCGAAGCUCUUGAUCGAAGCCCCGGUAAACGGCGGCCGUAACUAUAACGGUCCUAAGGUAGCGAAAUUCCUUGUCGGGUAAGUUCCGACCUGCACGAAUGGUGUAACCAUGGCCACGCUGUCUCCACCCGAGACUCAGUGAAAUUGAAAUCGCUGUGAAGAUGCAGUGUACCCGCGGCUAGACGGAAAGACCCCGUGAACCUUUACUACAGCUUGGCACUGAACAUUGAACCUACAUGUGUAGGAUAGGUGGGAGGCUUAGAAGCAUUGUCGCUAGAUGAUGUGGAGCCGUCCUUGAAAUACCACCCUUGUAUGUUUGAUGUUCUAACGUAGGUCCCUUAUCGGGAUUGCGGACAGUGCCUGGUGGGUAGUUUGACUGGGGCGGUCUCCUCCCAAAGAGUAACGGAGGAGCACGAAGGUUGGCUAAGUACGGUCGGACAUCGUACGGUUAGUGCAAAGGCAUAAGCCAGCUUAACUGCGAGACAGACACGUCGAGCAGGUGCGAAAGCAGGUCUUAGUGAUCCGGUGGUUCUGAAUGGAAGGGCCAUCGCUCAACGGAUAAAAGGUACUCCGGGGAUAACAGGCUGAUACCGCCCAAGAGUUCACAUCGACGGCGGUGUUUGGCACCUCGAUGUCGGCUCAUCACAUCCUGGGGCUGAAGUCGGUCCCAAGGGUAUGGCUGUUCGCCAUUUAAAGUGGUACGCGAGCUGGGUUUAGAACGUCGUGAGACAGUUCGGUCCCUAUCUGCCGUGGGCGUUUGAGAAUUGAGAGGGGUUGCUCCUAGUACGAGAGGACCGGAGUGAACGAACCGCUGGUGUUCGGGUUGUCAUGCCAAUGGCACUGCCCGGUAGCUACGUUCGGAAUCGAUAACCGCUGAAAGCAUCUAAGCGGGAAGCGAGCCUCGAGAUGAGUUCUCACUGGACUUUAAGUCCCUAAAGGGUUGU
This 1627-nucleotide ribosomal RNA is filed under the name microbial mat metagenome. RNAcentral describes it as "bacterial LSU rRNA". It matches the Rfam family "Bacterial large subunit ribosomal RNA", at positions 1225 to 2838 of the family's 2925-position model. The record is from RNAcentral.